UAUUAGAAAGAAUACCAAUUGCGAAGGCAGCUUUCUGGAUCAUUACUGACACUGAGGAACGAAAGCAUGGGUAGCGAAGAGGAUUAGAUACCCUCGUAGUCCAUGCCGUAAACGAUGUGUGUUAGACGUUGGAAAUUUAUUUUCAGUGUCGCAGCGAAAGCGAUAAACACACCGCCUGGGGAGUACGACCGCAAGGUUAAAACUCAAAUGAAUUGACGGGGACCCGCACAAGUAGUGGAGCAUGUGGUUUAAUUCGAAGAUACGCGCAGAACCUUACCAACACUUGACAUGUUCGUCGCGACUCUAAGAGAUUAGAGUUUUCGGUUCGGCCGGACGAAACACAGGUGCUGCAUGGCUGUCGUCAGCUCGUGUCGUGAGAUGUUGGGUUAAGUCCCGCAACGAGCGCAACCCUCACUUUUAGUUGCCAUCAUUAAGUUGGGCACUCUGAAAGAACUGCCAGUGAUAAGCUGGAGGAAGGUGGGGAUGACGUCAAGUCCUCAUGGCCCUUACGUGUUGGGCUACACACGUGCUACAAUGGUAUCUACAAAAGGAAGCAAGACGGCGACGUUUAGCAAAUCCUUAAAAGAUACCUCAGUUCGGAUUGCACUCUGCAACUCGAGUGCAUGAAGCUGGAAUUACUAGUAAUCGUGGAUCAGCGUGCCACGGUGAAUGCGUUCCCGGGCCUUGUACACACCGCCCA
RNAcentral lists this ribosomal RNA (700 nucleotides) under uncultured bacterium. RNAcentral's name for it is "bacterial SSU rRNA". It matches the Rfam family "Bacterial small subunit ribosomal RNA", at positions 695 to 1396 of the family's 1533-position model. The record is from RNAcentral.